CUGAACUUGAGGGUGAUGACUUACUGA
This 27-nucleotide non-coding RNA is filed under the name Homo sapiens (human). The record is from RNAcentral. Lineage: Eukaryota; Metazoa; Chordata; Mammalia; Primates; Hominidae.